GUGCCAGCAGCCGCGGUAAUACAGAGACUGCAAGCGUUAUUCGGAUUCACUGGGCGUAAAGGGUGCGCAGGUGGUCGUGUGUGUCAGAUGUGAAAUCCCGGAGCUUAACUCCGGAACUGCGUCUGAAACUGCACGACUAGAGCAUUGGAGAGGGUAGUGGAAUUCACGGUGUAGCAGUGAAAUGCGUAGAUAUCGUGAGGAACACCAGAGGCGAAGGCGACUACCUGGACAAUUGCUGACACUCAGGCACGAAAGCAUGGGGAGCAAAAGGGAUUAGAUACCCCUGUAGUCC
This 292-nucleotide ribosomal RNA is filed under the name uncultured microorganism. Its description in RNAcentral is "partial 16S ribosomal RNA". It matches the Rfam family "Bacterial small subunit ribosomal RNA", at positions 505 to 796 of the family's 1533-position model. The record is from RNAcentral.